AUACGGAGGGUGCGAGCGUUAAUCGGAAUUACUGGGCGUAAAGGGUGCGUAGGCGGCUUGAUAAGUCGGAUGUGAAAGCCCCGGGCUUAACCUGGGAAUUGCAUUCGAUACUGUCAGGCUAGAGUAUGUCAGAGGUUGGCGGAAUUCCUGGUGUGGCGGUGAAAUGCGUAGAUAUCAGGAGGAACACCAGUGGCGAAGGCGGCUAACUGGGGCAAUACUGACGCUGAGGCACGAAAGCGUGGGGAGCAAACAGGAUUAGAUACCCCAGUAGUCC
RNAcentral lists this ribosomal RNA (274 nucleotides) under uncultured bacterium. Its description in RNAcentral is "partial 16S ribosomal RNA". It matches the Rfam family "Bacterial small subunit ribosomal RNA", at positions 523 to 796 of the family's 1533-position model. The record is from RNAcentral.